Molecule: ribosomal RNA, 499 nt
Filed under: uncultured bacterium
Lineage: Bacteria
Description: bacterial SSU rRNA
Rfam family: Bacterial small subunit ribosomal RNA
Source: RNAcentral
GAUCAUGGCUCAGGAUGAACGCUGGCGGCGUGCUUAACACAUGCAAGUCGAACGCUGAAGCUCCCAGCUUGCUGGGGGUGGAUGAGUGACGAACGGGUGAGUAUCACGUGAGUAACCUGCCCUUGACUCUGGGAUAAGCCCGGGGAACUGGGUCUAAUACUGGAUAGGACUGGCCAUCGCAUGGUGGUUGGUUGAAAGCUUUUGCGGUUUUGGAUGGACUCGCGGCCUAUCAGCUUGUUGGUGGGGUAAUGGCCUACCAAGGCUUUGACGGGUAGCCGGCCUGAGAGGGUGACCGGCCACACUGGGACUGAGACACGGCCCAGACUCCUACGGGAGGCAGCAGUGGGGGAUAUUGCACAAUGGGCGCAAGCCUGAAUACAGCGACGCCGCGUGAGGGAUGACGGCCUUCGGGUUGUAAACCUCUUUCAGUUGGGAAGAAGCCUUUCGGGGUGACGGUACCUUCAGAAGAAGCACCGGCUAACUACGUGCCAGCAGCUGC